This 413-nucleotide ribosomal RNA is filed under the name uncultured bacterium. RNAcentral describes it as "bacterial SSU rRNA". It matches the Rfam family "Bacterial small subunit ribosomal RNA", at positions 64 to 507 of the family's 1533-position model. The record is from RNAcentral.
GGACGCUUCGGGGGUUUUGGCCCUCGGGGAGUGGCGCACGGGUGAGUAGCGCGUGGGAACCUGUCCUUUUGUGGGGGAUAACCGAGGGAAACUUCGGCUAAUACCGCAUGCGCCCGGAGUGAUCCGGGGAAAGAUUUAUCGCAGAGGGAGGGGCCCGCGUCGGAUUAGGUAGUUGGUGGGGUAACGGCCUACCAAGCCGAUGAUCCGUAGCUGGUCUGAGAGGAUGAUCAGCCACACUGGGACUGAGACACGGCCCAGACUCCUACGGGAGGCAGCAGUGGGGAAUAUUGGACAAUGGGCGCAAGCCUGAUCCAGCAAUGCCGCGUGAGUGAAGAAGGCCUUCGGGUUGUAAAGCUCUUUUGUGCGGGAAGAUAAUGACGGUACCGCAAGAAUAAGCCCCGGCUAACUUCGUG